This 425-nucleotide ribosomal RNA is filed under the name uncultured Glomeromycotina. RNAcentral's name for it is "SSU rRNA". It matches the Rfam family "Eukaryotic small subunit ribosomal RNA", at positions 670 to 1092 of the family's 1831-position model. Lineage: Eukaryota; Fungi; Glomeromycota. The record is from RNAcentral.
AUUGUCUGUACUGGUGAGAUGAGUCUCUACCUUCUGAGGAACUUUCAUGCCAUUCGUUUGGUGUGAUGGGAAAUCUGGACUGUUACUUUGAAAAAAUUAGAGUGUUUAAAGCAGGCUAACGUCUGAAUACAUUAGCAUGGAAUAAUGAAAUAGGACGGAUUGAUUCUAUUUCGUUGGUUUCUAGGGUCACCGUAAUGAUUAAUAGGGAUAGUUGGGGGCAUUAGUAUUCAAUUGUCAGAGGUGAAAUUCUUGGAUUUAUUGAAGACUAACUACUGCGAAAGCAUUUGCCAAGGAUGUUUUCAUUAAUCAAGAACGAAAGUUAGGGGAUCGAAGACGAUCAGAUACCGUCGUAGUCUUAACCAUAAACUAUGCCGACUAGGGAUCGGACGCAGUUAAUUUUAUAAUGACGUGUUCGGCACCUUACG